CGUCGCCCGCGCAAACAGCCAAACAUGGAAGGUGGCUCAGGUUGUCGCUGAGCUGAGCUGACAAGCAACUGAAGCAAGGCAUUGCAGGCCGUGGUCGCAUGACCUAACCAGCCCCCUAAAACAUUGAAGAAGUAUUCACCGGUUUAUCUCAGAAUGUUCAAAGAUUCAGUUUCUUUAUGUUAAUUAGGACUGGCACAUGAAGGAGGACGACCAACAAACCUCCCCAGUCCCCGGGCACCGCGGGGCGGCGUGUUGAUGGGCGGGAGUGUCCGCGGCAUUGUUAUCACUAGUGGCAGAGUAGACUUGAUAAUCUACAUAUUCUCAGGUUACUUAAUACAGGAGUUUGGUGCAGUCCUCCUUUGCAGCUGCAAUGGAUGAGUGUGAAGUUCUUGAAGUAAAGACAUGCGAAUCUCAGGAUCCUGUCACUAACCUGAAGAAAGUGGAGUUGGAGAUUAAGAAGGUGACACAGGAGAUCCAGGCUCUUCAAGGUCGCAAGCAGCAGCUCAUUUCCAAAAGAGACAAACUCAAGGAUGCCAUUCAACAAGAUAAAUCUGCUCACCUUGCUCAGAAGAACUGGGAUAGGGAAGAUUUCCCAUGGUCCAAGGAGCUGGAGAAGAUACAGAAGAGCCUUUUCAAAAUACCUAAGCUACGAGCUCACCAGCUGCCCACCAUGAAUGCUACUAUGUCUGGGGUUGACUGUAUCCUCAUUAUGCCUACAGGAGGAGGGAAGUCUCUCUGCUACCAACUGCCAGCUCAUGUUUCUAAAGGUGUCACCUUAGUUGUCUCUCCCCUGGUGUCCUUGAUGGAAGACCAGAUUAUGGCUCUGAGAGCUCUGAAUGUUGCAGCGAUGAUGUUGUCCGCCUCAGUUACCAGAGAGGAGGUCAAUGCCGUCCAUACAGAAAUGACAAAUCCCCAAAGCAAAUUAAAGCUCUUGUAUGUUACACCAGAGAAGCUUUCCAAGUCAAAGAGAUUCAUGACAAAACUUCAGAAAAUGCAUCAGAUGGGAAGGUUUGCCCGCUUGGCCAUUGAUGAGGUUCAUUGUUGCUCGCAGUGGGGCCAUGACUUCAGACCAGACUACAAGUUCUUGGGAAUCAUGAGAAAGAUGUUCCCUGGCACUCCUAUCCUGGGACUCACUGCUACUGCCACAUCAAGAGUAAUUCUAGAUGUGCAGAAGAUACUAGACAUACAAGGCUGCUUGAUUCUCAAGGCAUCCUUCAAUAGACCAAAUUUGUUUUAUGAGGUGCGACCAAAGCCAUCAUCACAAGAAGAAUGUGCAAACCAGAUUCAACAGAUGCUUCAAAAGGAAUUCAAGGGCCAGUCAGGCAUUAUCUACACCAUGACAAUCAAGGAUGCUGAGCAGCUUGCAGGUGACCUGAGGUCUCGGGGACUACGUGUAGCUCCAUAUCAUGCCCAGCUUGAAGCAGAUGUCAGGAGCAGAGUUCAUAUGAAGUGGGUGAAGAAUGAUUAUCAGGCCGUAAUUGCUACCAUUGCCUUUGGGAUGGGAAUAGAUAAGCCUGAUGUUCGCUAUGUCAUUCACCACUGUAUUUCAAAGUCCAUGGAAAACUUCUAUCAGGAAAGUGGAAGAGCAGGGAGAGAUGGUGAACCAGCAAAAUGUAUUAUCUUCUGGAAAUUUUCUGAUCUUGCAAGGCAGAGCACCAUGGUCUUUACUGAGCAGACUGGCUUAGAAAACUUGUAUGGUCUGAUCACAUAUUGCUUGGAUGAAACGAGAUGUCGAAGGAAUCUCAUUGCUGAGCAUUUUGAUGAGGCGUGGGAAACUGCAGACUGUGCUGGUAUGUGUGACCACUGCAGGACACCACGGGAAGUGAAGAUGCUGGACCUAACUGAUUAUGGGGAUAAGCUUCUGAUGAUUCUACAGAAAUCUGCAAGUCUUGACCAGAGGUUAACAGGUCAGAAACUGGUUGACCUACUUCUUGGCAAGGGUGCUACCAAGCAACGUGUCCAAGAGGCAAUUGCUACUGGACUAAGUAGGGACAAAGCAGAAAGUAUUGUGGCAUUUUUACUAAUUGAUGGAUUCCUCAAGGAAGAUUUUCAUUUCACUCCAUACAGUACCCUCAGCUAUAUAGUGCCAGGACCUAAAGCAGAAGCUGGAAUCAAACCUAGUCCCAUGGCAAUUGCAGGAUCAAGAAACUUAGAAAAUAUUUGCUUGCCAUCAUCUCAGACAGGUAGAUCAGGCAUGGACAAAGUAAAGCUGCACUCUAAACAAAAGACUUCAAAAGACACUACUAAUCAUUUUGUGAGUAGUAGUUCCAAGAAAGAAAAUGGAUCCAAGAGAAGUAGAAAUACUGCAUCCAACAGCCCAGAUUCAAUUCCUUCAAUUGAUAUUUCCUGGAGUGAUUCUGAGCCCUCAGGCACCAAGAAAAGAAGAGCAGUUGUCAUAGAGGAUUCUGGUGAUGAAAUGGAUGACUAAAUACAUGUGUGCAAUCAAGGACUUCGGGGGCACAAGCGGUAAGCCCACCAACGGGCAGACCGCUCGCCUGUGUUUGAGGGCACUGCUUGAUCGUGUGGACAGGCCUUUAGCCGGAAGGUGUCCCAGCGGGCAGGGUGCACCACGACUGUGCUUCCCAGCAGGUGUGGCAGUACUCGACGCUUCCUGCCACUGGGUCCCAGGACUCUGCUUUCAGGCAUACUAAAGGAGCAGUGUGUCUGUUGGAAAGAAUGGUUGUAUGAAUGACCAAAAGUAAACUUAGGGGACAUUGA
RNA transcript from Eriocheir sinensis (Chinese mitten crab), 2718 nucleotides. It is a transcript of the gene named ATP-dependent DNA helicase Q1-like, with no coding region annotated. Lineage: Eukaryota; Metazoa; Arthropoda; Malacostraca; Decapoda; Varunidae. The transcript is spliced from 15 exons. The record is from RefSeq and is a predicted model, not a curated record.